RNAcentral lists this long non-coding RNA (531 nucleotides) under Homo sapiens (human). RNAcentral's name for it is "MYO3B antisense RNA 1". Lineage: Eukaryota; Metazoa; Chordata; Mammalia; Primates; Hominidae. The record is from RNAcentral.
AGAUCAGCCCUGGGGUUCAGAGGGAUCCUGACAGCUACUCCUCAAGAUCCUCUCUGUUGUGAUUCAUCCCCCCGGGGCCCUACAGUUUCUCCUUCCUGACUCUUACAUUUCUUUGGAUGGCAUCAUUAUUUUAGGUGCCAAGCACUGUGGAUUCUGCCUCUCAGUGUCCAGACACCCAUUUUCCUUCCCACUGUUCCUUCCCCAUGGAGAAGCCUGUGGCUGGCUGACAGCAGAGAGAGAUGCUCAACUUGGAGAAGGUGUUACCUGGGCCAGGUGGGGAAGGUUUGUUUGCAGAGCAAAGAAGUGAAGAUCCUCAUGUGACAGGUGACCUGCCAUAUAAUCAGAAGGAAGAAAUGUUACACAGAGAGGCUGAGAAGAAUCUGAGGACUUGCUAAGUUUUCCCCAGUUUAUUACCAUUAGAUCAUAUGCCUUUUUUGUUCAAUCAUACUUCUAUACAACUGUCCAUCAUUCAUUAAACCUAACCACAAAAGUAGUUUUCACUCGGUUUUUGAGUGAAGGCUCCUGUGUCAC